UGUGGUUUAAUUCGAUGCAACGCGAGAACCUUACCUGGUCUUGACAUCCACGGAAGUUUUCAGAGAUGAGAAUGUGCCUUCGGAACGUGAGACAGGUGCUGCAUGGCUGUCGUCAGCUCGUGUUGUGAAAUGUUGGGUUAAGUCCCGCAACGAGCCGCAACCCUUAUCCUUUGUUGCCAGCGGUCCGGCCGGGAACUCGAAGGAGACUGCCAGUGAUAAACUGGAGGAAGGUGGGAUGACGUCAAGUCAUCAUGGCCCUUACGACCAGGGCUACACACGUGCUACAAUGGCGCAUACAAAGAGAAGCGACCUCGCGAGAGCAAGCGGACCUCAUAAAGUGCGUCGUAGUCCGGAUUGGAGUCUGCAACUCGACUCCAUGAAGUCGGAAUCGCUAGUAAUCGUGGAUCAGAAUGCCACGGUGAAUACGUUCCCGGGCCUU
This 439-nucleotide ribosomal RNA is filed under the name uncultured Enterobacteriaceae bacterium. Its description in RNAcentral is "bacterial SSU rRNA". It matches the Rfam family "Bacterial small subunit ribosomal RNA", at positions 940 to 1382 of the family's 1533-position model. The record is from RNAcentral. Lineage: Bacteria; Pseudomonadati; Pseudomonadota; Gammaproteobacteria; Enterobacterales; Enterobacteriaceae.